RNAcentral lists this ribosomal RNA (451 nucleotides) under uncultured bacterium. RNAcentral's name for it is "partial 16S ribosomal RNA". It matches the Rfam family "Bacterial small subunit ribosomal RNA", at positions 355 to 806 of the family's 1533-position model. The record is from RNAcentral.
UGAGGAAUAUUGGUCAAUGGGCGAGAGCCUGAACCAGCCAAAUCGCGUGAAGGAAGACUGCCUUAUGGGUUGUAAACUUCUUUUAUACAGGAAUAAAAAACGGGGACGUGUCCCUUAUUGCAUGUACUGUAUGAAUAAGCAUCGGCUAACUCCGUGCCAGCAGCCGCGGUAAUACGGAGGAUGCGAGCGUUAUCCGGAUUUAUUGGGUUUAAAGGGUGCGCAGGCGGGCUUUUAAGUCAGCGGUGAAAUCUCGGGCUUAACUCCGAAACUGCCGUUGAAACUGGGAGUCUUGAGUAUGGAUGAAGUAGGCGGAAUUCGUUGUGUAGCGGUGACAUGCUUAGAUAUAACGAGGAACUCCGAUUGCGUAGGCAGCUUACUAAGCCAUACUGACGCUCAAGCACGAAGCGUGGGGAUCAAACAGAUUAGAUACCCUGGUAGUCCACGCCGUAAA